UACGUAGGGUGCAAGCGUUGUCCGGAAUUAUUGGGCGUAAAGAGCUUGUAGGCGGUUUGUCGCGUCUGCUGUGAAAUUUCGGGGCUCAACCCCGAACUUGCAGUGGGUACGGGCAGACUAGAGUGUGGUAGGGGAGACUGGAAUUCCCGGUGUAGCGGUGAAAUGCGCAGAUAUCGGGAGGAACACCAAUGGCGAAGGCAGCUCGCUGGGACGUUACUGACGCUGAGACGCGAAAGCAUGGGGAGCGAACAGG
RNAcentral lists this ribosomal RNA (253 nucleotides) under uncultured bacterium. RNAcentral's name for it is "partial 16S ribosomal RNA". It matches the Rfam family "Bacterial small subunit ribosomal RNA", at positions 524 to 776 of the family's 1533-position model. The record is from RNAcentral.